Molecule: non-coding RNA, 833 nt
Organism: Saccharomyces cerevisiae S288C
Lineage: Eukaryota; Fungi; Ascomycota; Saccharomycetes; Saccharomycetales; Saccharomycetaceae
Source: RefSeq
CUUAGAAAGAGUCUGUCAUCCUUGGAAACAUUGCUGACCAAGAAUACGAUAUUGUGAGAAGACAUUGUACCCAAAAAAAAUUUUUCAUUCCUAUAGUUUGGAUUGGAGAUGAUUCAAACACAGCAUAUUCAUGUGUUACCUUCCCGGUUAUGCACGAGGUCAAUGAGACCGUUCCCUUGUGUUGUACCAGUGGUAGGGUUCUUCUCGGUAGCUUCUCCGCAAUAAGAAUGAUUGAAUCAUAUUGUAACAUUAGAUUUUGGCCUUUCACUAAUUACCGUAGGUAAUUUUGUUGGUUAAACUGACAAAGAAUAAGAGUUUAACCAACAAAAUUAAGUCUUGGUGCAUUGAAUGGAAGAAAAGAUGAUACAACGCCAACCUAAAGAGUGGAAAGCGUUCUUUCAAAUGAGGGUAGUAGGAAAUUCAGCGGGAAAGUUUGAAAAUGUGGUGGUAAAACAAUAAUCCUGGUUUUUCUUUGUUAUCCGAUAGGAAAUUUAUCCCCUUCUAUGUUCCACUAAUCACUUCAUGGGUUGACUAUCACUAGCGCAUGAACUCCUUUUGACCAAUAAUAAGCACAAUACUAAAGGUUGUGGUAAUUGAUAAAUAAAGACUUCCAUUGAAAUGACAGAAACGAUAUGUAUGAAUCAGAAUAUCAAGCAUGGAUAUAUCAUUGCGCUCAAACUUAGUCAAAUUCCUUUGUUUUCUUAGUUUGUUAUGACUCCCUUGACGUAAUUAUUCUUGCAUUAAUUUUGAGCUUCUGUAAACUUCAUUGUUCCAAUGGAUCAUUAUAUAUUAACAACGUUGGCAUAUACGUGACCGCAAUUUGAACUACCUAC